GUUUGAUCCUGGCUCAGGACGAACGCUGGCGGCGUGCUUAACACAUGCAAGUCGAACGGUGACGAGGAGCUUGCUCCUCUGAUCAGUGGCGAACGGGUGAGUAACACGUGAGCAACCUACCCUUGACUCUGGGAUAACAGUUGGAAACAGCUGCUAAUACCGGAUACGACCCCGACAGGCAUCUGCCGGGGUGGAAAGCUCCGACGGUCAAGGAUGGGGCUCGCGGCCUAUCAGCUUGUUGGUGAGGUAACGGCUCACCAAGGCGACGACGGGUAGCCGGCCUGAGAGGGCGACCGGCCACACUGGGACUGAGAUACGGCCCAGACUCCUACGGGAGGCAGCAGUGGGGAAUAUUGCACAAUGGGCGCAAGCCUGAUCCAGCCAUGCCGCGUGUGUGAAGAAGGCCUCGGGUUGUAAAGCACUUUAAGCGAGGAGGAAGGUCAUCAUACUAAUACUAUGGUGAAUUGACGUUACUCGCAGAAUAAGCACCGGCUAAC
RNAcentral lists this ribosomal RNA (497 nucleotides) under uncultured bacterium. RNAcentral's name for it is "bacterial SSU rRNA". It matches the Rfam family "Bacterial small subunit ribosomal RNA", at positions 11 to 501 of the family's 1533-position model. The record is from RNAcentral.